AUUGAACGCUGGCGGCAGGCUUAACACAUGCAAGUCGAGCGGGGAAAGGUAGCUUGCUACCUAACCUAGCGGCGGACGGGUGAGUAAUGCUUAGGAAUCUGCCUAUUAGUGGGGGACAACAUUCCGAAAGGAAUGCUAAUACCGCAUACGCCCUACGGGGGAAAGCAGGGGAUCUUCGGACCUUGCGCUAAUAGAUGAGCCUAAGUCAGAUUAGCUAGUUGGUGGGGUAAAGGCCUACCAAGGCGACGAUCUGUAGCGGGUCUGAGAGGAUGAUCCGCCACACUGGGACUGAGACACGGCCCAGACUCCUACGGGAGGCAGCAGUGGGGAAUAUUGGACAAUGGGGGGAACCCUGAUCCAGCCAUGCCGCGUGUGUGAAGAAGGCCUUAUGGUUGUAAAGCACUUUAAGCGAGGAGGAGGCUCUUUUGGUUAAUACCCAAGAUGAGUGGACGUUACUCGCAGAAUAAGCACCGGCUAACUCUGUGCCAGCCGCCGCCGUAA
This 501-nucleotide ribosomal RNA is filed under the name uncultured bacterium. Its description in RNAcentral is "partial 16S ribosomal RNA". It matches the Rfam family "Bacterial small subunit ribosomal RNA", at positions 30 to 523 of the family's 1533-position model. The record is from RNAcentral.